This is a non-coding RNA of Angiostrongylus costaricensis, 73 nucleotides long. NCBI's taxonomy places the organism in Eukaryota, Metazoa, Nematoda, Chromadorea, Rhabditida, Metastrongylidae. The record is from Rfam.
ACCUCGUAAAAACAGUUGGUAGAGCGUUAGACUUUUAAUCUAACGGUGAGGGGUUCGAAUCCCCUACGGAGUU